RNAcentral lists this ribosomal RNA (432 nucleotides) under uncultured bacterium. RNAcentral's name for it is "partial 16S ribosomal RNA". It matches the Rfam family "Bacterial small subunit ribosomal RNA", at positions 29 to 506 of the family's 1533-position model. The record is from RNAcentral.
AACGAACGCUGGCGGCAUGCCUAACACAUGCAAGUCGAACGAGACCUUCGGGUCUAGUGGCGCACGGGUGCGUAACGCGUGGGAACCUGCCCUUAGGUUCGGAAUAACUCCCCGAAAGGGGUGCUAAUACCGGAUAAUGUCCUCGGACCAAAGAUUUAUCGCCUUUGGAUGGGCCCGCGUUGGAUUAGCUAGUUGGUAGGGUAAAAGCCUACCAAGGCGACGAUCCAUAGCUGGUCUGAGAGGAUGAUCAGCCACACUGGGACUGAGACACGGCCCAGACUCCUACGGGAGGCAGCAGUGGGGAAUAUGGGACAAUGGGCGAAAGCCUGAUCCAGCAAUGCCGCGUGAGUGAUGAAGGCCUUAGGGUUGUAAAGCUCUUUUACCCGGGAUGAUAAUGACAGUACCGGGAGAAUAAGCUCCGGCUAACUCCGU